Molecule: transfer RNA, 78 nt
Filed under: Candidatus Coxiella mudrowiae
Lineage: Bacteria; Pseudomonadati; Pseudomonadota; Gammaproteobacteria; Legionellales; Coxiellaceae
Description: tRNA-Arg
Rfam family: tRNA
About the family: Transfer RNA (tRNA) molecules are approximately 80 nucleotides in length. Their secondary structure includes four short double-helical elements and three loops (D, anti-codon, and T loops).
Source: RNAcentral
GCCCCGGGUGGCACAGUUGGAUAGCACAGUCCCCUCCUAAGGGACAGGUCACAGAUUCAAAUCCUGUCCGGUGCACCA